This 248-nucleotide unclassified non-coding RNA is filed under the name Hevea brasiliensis (rubber tree). Lineage: Eukaryota; Viridiplantae; Streptophyta; Magnoliopsida; Malpighiales; Euphorbiaceae. The record is from RNAcentral.
CCCCUUUCUACUGACUGCUAAUGGUUUAUACAAUUGGAAUUUCUUUUUGCAAACAGUGAUUGUGACUCUGUGAGUGCUAGUUAUUGCAACAAUAUGAGGUCGCAGAUAGAUAAGUUUGUAAUUGCUGUUUUCUUUUGGAGAUACUUCCUUUUCAGAAUUUUGUUUUAAUAGCGUGUUUUCCUUGCGAGUGCCUUGUUCAUGUGGAGGUUUAUUGAAAAUGGCCAUUUAGUAAUACACUCUAGUAAUUG